CGCCCAGCUGGUGUUUUAAGCUUGGACGGCCCUUUGUGUGGACGGGAGCCCUAAUCAAACAGCAUUGUUUUGUGAGACACUUCAGGGAAGGCACGGUAUCUUCAUUUUGUUCUUAAGUGUGAACUUUUAAUGCCCUCUGAUACCUAAUGAGCUAUCACAGGCUUUCUGGUAUUUAAGCCACUCUUAAAGUCCACCUUCUUUCAAGACGUUCUUAAUGCACAGCUCGAAGUUUCAGCCUUAUAAAGUCAGUAUUUAAUAGGUUUUUGCACUCAGUCCACGUUUACACGAGAUCAAAACAACAAGGCAGUCGUUAGCCAGAGAAUUAAGCUUGCUCAUCAGAGAGCAGAAAUCACCAACGUUCCAAUACGCUGCCUCCAGUGGAUUUAUGUGACUAUGUAAUGGAAAUUAGCAAGAAAUUGCUGUAUAUUUUCAGAGACUACAUGGACCUCAGGAGAAGAGACUGGAAUGUGAAGUGAUCUUAUGGAAAUUCAUGAAGAACAGGUGAACUAAUUCAAUGGGAGAGGAACAUACCUGCUAUUUAAUUAUUGAUGAAUAUUUUCCAGAAUUCCAUUAGUUUCCCAGAGGUCACUGCUAAAUUACAUCAAACUUUAUGAUGUGAUUAUAUCAUGAAUCAAGAUUCAAGUGUUUAACAAACAAAAUAAUUUAACAUUGAUAUAAUGGGAACUUGGAAAUAUUUCUUUCUUUCCCUUACCUGAAAAGUUCCUGUCUAGCAGCAUGAGUUUGGCAAAGCAGUUCUGGAUGACAAAUUUUGUUUGUUUGCUUAAAUACUCAU
Long non-coding RNA from Pezoporus occidentalis (night parrot), 793 nucleotides. RefSeq lists it as uncharacterized. NCBI's taxonomy places the organism in Eukaryota, Metazoa, Chordata, Aves, Psittaciformes, Psittacidae. The transcript has 4 exons. The record is from RefSeq and is a predicted model, not a curated record.